GAUAUUUAAAUUUACGCUAUCGGCAAUUACUAGCUACUGAGAUACUAGUUUAUUGUAUUGUAUUGGACAAUGGACAAUAUGAAUAACAAGUCAACAAGAAAACCCAAAAAAAAAUUAUAUAUAACAUCCUAUGGAAAUGCAUGCUAGUGACGUUGGAAUAUAGUAAUAUACCAAGUCUAUCGUUGCAAGUAAAACCGUGUGAAAAAGGUCAACUGGAAUUUAAUAUUUACAAAAUAUUUAUCGGUCAUUUCGUAUUCUCAACCUAUGAAGUUGGGCGACAAAAAAAAA
This 288-nucleotide long non-coding RNA is filed under the name Capsella rubella. Its description in RNAcentral is "long non-coding RNA (CRUB_LNC003601)". Lineage: Eukaryota; Viridiplantae; Streptophyta; Magnoliopsida; Brassicales; Brassicaceae. The record is from RNAcentral.